AAUUUUAAAUAGAACUAAACCUUGUUAUGUAGAUUAAUUAUAAUAGUAUACAAUAAUAUUUUAACCGAGAGAAUAUUUAUAAAAAUAUAUAACUUUCAUCAUAUUCUAUACUGAAUGCUCUGGUUUUAGUUUUCAAAUAUAGAAACGGAGGUCAUUCUCACGAAGUCUUGUGGUACUCUUCAAUAACUUUUUUUAGACCUUUGGCGAAUUAAAAAGGAUUAAUGCAAGUUAAAACUUUUAAGACUGUAAAUAGUAUUCUAAAAUACUACAAGAAGGCCACUGAUCUUACAUUGAACUUAGUCGCGACAUCAUUUGACCGUUUUUAAAAAAAAAAGUUACCCACCCACCAUUUUAUAAUCUUUGACUUUAAUAAAUUUACCCAUUUAAUUUUACGCCCGAAUUUGCGUGAAACUGAGUUGAAAAUUUCAAAAUGAAUAUUCACGUUUGUGGAAUCUCCUUUUAUACGGAUGAGUUUGUUUUAAGCUUUUUAUAGUUUUAAAUGAAAAAUAAACAAUUUUAAAAUCCUUAAUGUUUAAAUCCAUUGUUUUAACUCUUAAGAAUUCAAUUGGUAACUGUUGAAUUGAAUGGAAAAUUAAAUAAAUAAUGAAUAUAAAUUAGGAAAAAGACAAAAAAUAUAUAAAUUUGUAUUAAUUUUCUUUCCUCAUAGAAAUUGGAGAAUGAUUUUUUUCCUUCGCAAUUUUCUCAUUCAUAAAGAAAUUAGAGGAAUUGAAUAGGACCCAUGAAUCAAUAUUGUGACAAAAACUUCAACAUGAAUGGCAUAAAAUUUUAGAAAUUAAAAUUUCCACAUCAUUUUUUCCUAAAUUUUGGUCACCAAUUGAAGCUAAUAUCUUUUUCGAUUUAUUACAUUCCAUAAGAAAAGUAAAAAAGGUAAAUAAAUAGUUUUAAAAAUAAAAUUGCAUAACACAAUUCAUUUAGAUUUACAUUACUCUAUCAAGUUUAUGCUUAGAAUGUUAAGCAAAAAAAAAAGCUUAACUUAGAAACACUAAUGAUGAAAACUGAAAAAAUGCGAUUUCUUUCUGAUGGAUAUAUCCGUCGAGAAUAUGCAUUCGUAUGGAUUUCCGAUGAAAUGUGUUUGUCGAGAUUAUUUUGUUGGUAAAGAAUUCAUCAAAAAAAUUCAAAAAAUAGCUACAAAUUUUCUGAGAGACUAAUUUUUAAAGGAUUUACAACGAAAAAAAUUAUUAAAAUAAAUUGUUAAAACUUCUCGACGGCUGUGGUACAUAAUAUUUUUAAGAGAAUUUCCAAAAAACUUUCCUAUGGACUUUUCAUUGAAAAUUUGUCAAAAAUUAGUAAUUUUUUAUUUUAAAAUUUUAAUAUAAUAAUCUAAAAUAUUUAAGAAAAUAAUUAAUCAAAAUUCAUAGUUAAAAUUUAAAUACAUACAAGUUUCUAAUAUAAAGACAAGAUUUUCACAGUUUUAAAUAAUAAUGAAAAGAUUUAGAAGUCUUAGCAGAAAUUAUGGUUCAUCUUCUCGACAAGAUUUUUGGUUUUUUGCCAAUUGUGAAAAUAUAGUUGCAAUUUGGUUCUGCACUGAGACACUCAUCUUUGUUCUCACAUGUUCUACAAUCUGGGGAUUAAUAUACGAAACUUGUAUAGACGAGAAAAGUGUGUUUCACAUCUAACCCGAUUAAACGCCAUUUUUUAUUUGGAACCACCUCCUAAAAAUGAUGAUAAAAUUGAAAAUAUGUCAAUGAAAUGUUUAUAAAAUACCUAAAGAACGAGGUUGUUGAUUUGUUGAGCCAAUGUUAUGAAUUCAGUAAUACCAUAUAUAUGUAUUUAUCUGUAAAUAACUUUUUCUAUGGAUCUAUAGUAAGUUUAUCCAUCUACGAAUGAAAAUAAUUAGAAAACAUAUUUUGUACUUUGUUCUGAAUGAAAAGAUGUGAUAUUCAUAGAUGAAAGUAACCUAAUUUUUGAUGGAUUUCUGAAAGAUUUCCGGCGGAUUAUGAAAUUUUUUUAUUUUGUAGAAAAUUUUAUUUUUUCAAACGGAUACAUAGUGGUUGUAGACUCUGUGGAGAAUUCUCAAUGGAUUUUGACUUAUUUGUCUUUUUAUCGGAAACUCAUCGAAAAUUGCAACAACUAGCUAACAGAUGGUAUAAUGUUUUCUUGAGAAUUCAUAUGUAAAUUUUCGAUGGAUUUCUUUUGUCAAAUUUUGGCGAAAAAAAAAUAAACAGGUUUUUAACAAAAGAUAUUUUAUGGGAAUUUUUUGACAAAUUUCCAAAAUUUCUCAAAAUUUUAUUCCAACGUUUCUCGUUGGAAAUUGAGUAUUUUCUUGUAAUGUCUACACUACAAGAGCAUCAUGGGAUAAGACAAAUGAUUUGAAUGAUACUUUUAAAAUUGUGUUAUUAAUGAAGAACAAAGUUUUUCGAAAAAAGAAAAAAAUGAGGAACGGAGCUACAUGCAUGAUAGAGGAGUCAAAUGAUACAUUGGAAAUCAUAGUACAUAUUUACUCCGAAUCGAUAAUCUAAAAGAAAAAUAAUUAGACCCAGUGCAUGCAUUGCUUUGACUGAUCCCCCACUCACUUGCUGACUUGCUCCGAGUCGUUCGAGAAGGUCUUACUUUUAACACACAAGGUAAAUUUACGAGGACAUUUUGUUUAACAGAAUUAAUAUUUUUCUUUUGAUUCCGGAUCGAUAAUCUCAAAGAAAAAAAAU
Brassica rapa (field mustard) is the source of this 2666-nucleotide long non-coding RNA. RefSeq lists it as uncharacterized. Lineage: Eukaryota; Viridiplantae; Streptophyta; Magnoliopsida; Brassicales; Brassicaceae. The record is from RefSeq and is a predicted model, not a curated record.